Molecule: ribosomal RNA, 252 nt
Filed under: uncultured bacterium
Lineage: Bacteria
Description: partial 16S ribosomal RNA
Rfam family: Bacterial small subunit ribosomal RNA
Source: RNAcentral
AACGGAGGGCGCGAGCGGUAUCCGGGUUCACUGGGCGUAAAGCGCGUUGAGGCGGCUCCGUAAGUUGGGCGUGAAAGCCCCGGGCUCAACCCGGGGAGGCCGUCCAAUACUGCGGGGCUUGAGGGCAGCAGAGGGAGGUGGAAUUCCCGGUGUAGUGGUGAAAUGCGUAGAUAUCGGGAGGAUCACCCGUGGCGAAGGCGGCCUCCAGGGCUGCUCCUGACGCUGAAGCCGAAAGUACGGGGAGCGAACGGG